GCUGGGUGUGGUGGCUCACGCCUGUAAUCCCAGCCACUUGGGAGGCUGAGACAGGAGGAUCUCGAGUUCAAAGCCAGCCUCAGCUAAAGUGAGGACCUAAGCAACUCAGUGAGAACCUGUCUCUA
RNAcentral lists this small RNA (125 nucleotides) under Marmota monax (woodchuck). Lineage: Eukaryota; Metazoa; Chordata; Mammalia; Rodentia; Sciuridae. The record is from RNAcentral.